This is a non-coding RNA of Prunus mume (Japanese apricot), 2286 nucleotides long. NCBI's taxonomy places the organism in Eukaryota, Viridiplantae, Streptophyta, Magnoliopsida, Rosales, Rosaceae. The record is from RefSeq and is a predicted model, not a curated record.
UAUGUUCUAAACGAGCUAAGUUAGUAGUUAUUUUAUAAGCCGUGAGAAGAAAAAAAAAAAUUAGAGCAGCAGAGUCUCUGAGUCUGCCUCUGAGUUGUUGGAAUCUUCGAUGGGAAGAAAGAAAAAGUAUAAUAAGGUUAAGAAGGAGCAGGUGUUGUUGUGCUGGAGCUUUCCCCACCAUGGCUGGUACAAGCUCAACGUGGAUGGGAGCUACCGCAGUGGAUCUGGGUGCAUUGCAGGAGGUGGUGUGAUCAGAAAUCAAGAAGGAGAAUGGUUAUCUGGGUUUGCUGCAAAUUUGGGAACGGGCAAAGUUAUUGAGGCAGAGGUUUGGGCCUUAUACAGAGGCUUGGAGCUUGCUUGGAAAUCUGGGUUGGCCCCACUUGAGGUGGAAACUGACUCAACCACUGUUUUGAAGCUUAUGCAUAACCCAGUUGAGGUGAAUUGGAAACACCCUCAUUUUAACUUGAUCAAGAGCUGCCAGAAUCUCCUUAACCAAAGCUGGAUAUGUUCUCUGAAUCAUGCAUAUUGGCAGCAAAACAGUGUAGCUGAUUGUCUAGCUAAUUUUGGGUUGACUAUGGAGCGGGGGUGCCAUUAUUUUGAUGUUCCUCCACCUCUCUGUGAGCCUUUUUUAGUUCAGGAUAUCUCUAGGGUUGCUCAACCAAGGUUUCUUCCUCCCUCUGUCAUAGAAUACAGAAAAAUAAAGAAAUUGGAGGAAGUGGAUAUUCACAUGGAAGAUCUUGCAUCUGUUAUAUUCACAUGGAAAGUUGACAACUUCUCUAAGUUGGAUGCUGUCAAGCAUUACUCCGAUAUCUUCGUCAUCGGUGUUUUUGAAUGGCGAAUCCUUAUGUAUCCAAGGGGGAACAAUGUAGACUACUUGUCGGUUUAUCUGGAUGUUGCAGGUUCUUCAACAUUGCCAUUAGGGUGGGCUAGACAUGUGCGAUUCAGCUUGACCAUCGUUAAUCAACUUCAAAGCAGCGAGUCUUUAACAAAGGAUACUGAACAUGUGUUCAAUAAAAGUGACAGUAACUCGGGCUUCACAUCAUUAAUUCCUCUAAGUGAGUUUUGUGACCAUAGUAAAGGAUAUGUUGUGAAUGACACAUGUAUCAUUGAAGCCAAGGUUGCAGUCCAUAAGUCUGAAAUUAAGAUUUUAGAAGGAAAAAAACUCGUAGAAGCACGACGAGCAGGGACCUUCAAAUCUAAUCCUCUAAAAGUUCCAGAUUGAUCAGCAGCAAAUAAGGCACCAUGUUAUGACAAGGUGUCUGCCUUCCAGGAGGAACCAAGUUCUGAGAAGGUUUGCACCGAUAGCCCUGCUAAUCCUCCCAUUGUCAUGGAACAUGAGGAUGUGUCGUCCACACCAGCUGGGGAGCUCAUGGUUUUCAGGGGUUUAAGUGUAAAACAGAAAAGGCUUUUGCUCCGCUGCCUGAUGAAGUUUGUUCCUGGCAUCCUUCUUUAAUAGAAUUCCAAAAGAAGAGAAGUCACAUGUCUACUGAGUGGGCAUUCACAGCUUCAGCCCAACUCCUGCAUUUUUUGAAGAAUACAGAAAAGGUCAAGGAUAUGACAGAUCAUCUCUGAGCGCCUAAAACUUUUAUGGGAGGAGCUUGAGACCUGCAGGUUUGACUUGGCUUGGCUGGGGCCCCAUGUUCAUAGCGCUUUAGGUAUGAAGAAUUUUGUGGAAAGAGUAGGGCAACGGAAAAGACUGAGAGGUGGAUAUAGAUGCUUUGGAGAUUAAAACGAAGUGGCUAAAGGCUAAGCUAUUGCUUGCGGAGGUAAAUCUUGAGGUAGCAAUAAGAGAUCUACACACGGCUGAAUGAUGAGAUAAAUAUGGAUGGUGAGUUGGGUAAUGGGAUGUAGAAUUUUCCCUUGAAUUGCUGAAGAUAUGCAUUGUACGACACGUAAUGCAAAGUUUGACUGGAUUGUUCGGGGUCCCCUUUACUGGAGGCCACCUCUCCCCCACAGCAAUGCAGCUUAAGGCGUUAAUUGAUGUACUCAAACAGGCCAAGGUUGCUUUGCUUUGUGAAGCUGAAUGAGAAAAGGCCAGGACUUUAGCAUCUGGGCGGGGUAUUGGAGGAAGUUAAGACAAUUGAAGCACAGUUUUUGCACACCAUAUCUUUAGGUAGUUGUAACAUAGUUGCACAAAUCAGUCGGAAAAGCAUGCCUUUCGUUGUAAUCAAUCUUUUAUCUGGAUGGAGAAGGGGUAUUUGCUUGCUCCUUUGUGAUAUGUCGAAUGUAUUGAGAAACAUAUAAGACUACUAAUAAUGGUGCCCAGGAGCACGCAUACCAGUUCAA